RNAcentral lists this long non-coding RNA (1294 nucleotides) under Bos indicus x Bos taurus (hybrid cattle). Its description in RNAcentral is "lncRNA (ENSBIXG00000021799.1)". The record is from RNAcentral. Lineage: Eukaryota; Metazoa; Chordata; Mammalia; Artiodactyla; Bovidae.
GUUAUGUCCUACAAUCUUCAGAAAAAUCCAGAGAAACUCAUAUGAUUAUCAGUUCCAUAUAAGAGGAGACAACCGUAGUGCCGAAGGUCACACAGGCAGCGCAGGCUGCAGCUGUGACAUCAACCCAGGAGUCUUGCCCCCAUGUCCACUGUCUCAUGCACCGGACCGAGCUUCUGCUCUGACAAUGUGCUUCCUAUUUUAGAGGAAGACUUAGUAAGGUCUUCCUUUCCAGUUCCUAUUCGUCAUUGUCACAAAAGUGCCAUUCGCUCAUUCCAGGGACAUGACAGUCAGUAGAUGACAGCUGAGUACACAGUUCCCUUUGCACCUGAUAAGUUCCAAUCCUAUAUUUCAAGUGGUGUUUACGUUGAGAUCUACAGAGGAGCCUGGCAGAUUAUGGCAAUUAAACAACAACUCUGAGAGUCUCUGCUUCCACCUGAGAUAAUAUUUUGAGAAAUUAUCCAGAAAGUUAAAAAAUCCAUUUAAAUUUACUCUUACUCUCUUGUUUGCAGAUUAUCAUUUUCUGAAACAGUCUUCAAAUACUAGGUCUACUCAAACUUUGGUGUGUAUAGUUCUCUUAGAACUACUUCUGGGACAGAGCUGAAGCUCCAAUACUUCAGCCGCCUGAUGGGAAGAGCCCACUCACUGGAAAAGACCCUGAUGCUGGGAAAGAUUGAGGGCAGGACGAGAAGGGGUCAUCAGAGGGUGAGAUGUUUCGAUUGCAUUGGAUCGACUCAAUGAACAUGAAUUGUAACAAUCUCUGAGAGAUAGAGAAGGACAGGGAAGCCUGGCGUGCUGUAGUCCAUGGGAUCAAAGAGAGUGGACACGCCUUAGUGACCAACAACAAUGGGACCGAGACCCCUCGGUGCACUUUCUCUGGGACAGACACCUUCCUGGAUUCCCCACAUGUGCCAUUACUGCCUUUAGGGAGCUUACAAUCUAUCAGGGCAGUCAAAUGUUACAUAAUUAGAGGGAUUACUUAGCUCACUUCCUAGUGAAAUAUUUAAGGAGAUGAGAUUAUCUGUACUAUCUCACAAAGACUGAAGCAAAGGAUCCUGUGAAAUAUUGUAGUGGUAGAGGAGAAAGAGAAAUAAGCACAGGCAAACAUGAAUGUUUUAGGACAACCAGCACCUUAAAAGGUGACUUGUGGAUUAUAGUUGCAAAAUAACUCAUUUUUAACAAAUGAUAUUAGUGAUAUUGUUCCCUAUAAUGUCUCCAGGGAGCUUAAGGCCUACUCAGGUGAUAUCGUAAAGGUACAAUCACAACUGGAAUUUUUUAAAGAAGGGAGAAAAGGGUA